GAUGAACGCUGGCGGCGUGCCUAACACAUGCAAGUCGAACGGACGGACCUGCUUCUCCUUUUUCUGUUGGUAGCGUCGGACGGCUGAGUGAUACGUAGAUCACCUACCUAUUAGACUCGGCUUACUUCGAGAAACCGGAGACAAUACCUGAUAUUCUUUUGAACUGCAUGGUUCAACCUGUAGUGACGGUCUUGCUGCUACUUAUAGAUGGUUCCGCGCUGCAUUAGCUAGUUGGUAAGGUAACGGCAUACUAAGGCAACGAUGCAUAGCCGGCGUGAGAGGGUGAUCGGCCACAGUGGAACUGAGACAGGGUCCAGACUCCUACGGGAGGCAGAAGUAGGGAAUGUGCCGCAAUGGGCGAAAGCCUGACGGAGCAACACCGCGUGAGUGAUGAAGGUGUUCGGAUCGGAAAUCUCUGUUAUUAGGGAAGAACAGAAGGGUACGUAGCUGUACGCGUCUUGACGGUACCUAAAGAGAAAGCAACGGCUAACUACGUG
Molecule: ribosomal RNA, 497 nt
Filed under: uncultured bacterium
Lineage: Bacteria
Description: partial 16S ribosomal RNA
Rfam family: Bacterial small subunit ribosomal RNA
Source: RNAcentral